Molecule: long non-coding RNA, 330 nt
Organism: Sinocyclocheilus anshuiensis
Lineage: Eukaryota; Metazoa; Chordata; Actinopteri; Cypriniformes; Cyprinidae
Exons: 4
Source: RefSeq, a predicted model, not a curated record
UGCUUGCCAACAACAGGAGAUACGAGCCUUAGAGAGAUACAUACGGCGCCUUGAGUUUCAAAUUAGUAAGGUUGAAGAGCUGUAUGAGUCCUAUUGUAUCCAGUGGCGGCUCUGCCAAGGAGCUUUGAACAUGAAGAGAGCUUUCUCUCUGUCCCUGUCUUCACGACAGUCUAGAGAGAGUCUACUGGAGCUGAACCGCAACCACAGACACAGCCUGGAGGAUAUGUGUGCAAUGGAAGGAGAACUGGAAAUCCUGCUGGGCGAGCUGCAAAUCAAAAUGAAAGGGUUGAUAGGAUUUGCUCGACUCUGCCCUGGAGAUCAGUAUGAGGU